GCCCAGACUCCUACGGGAGGCAGCAGUGGGGGAUAUUGCACAAUGGGGGGAACCCUGAUGCAGCGACGCCGCGUGGGUGAAGGAGUGCUUCGGCAUGUAAAGCCCUAUCGGCAGGGAAGAAGCAAGACGGUACCUGACUAAGAAGCCCCGGCUAACUACGUGCCAGCAGCCGCGGGAAUACGUAGGGGGCAAGCGUUAUCCGGAAUUACUGGGUGGAAAGGGAGCGUAGACGGUGAUGCAAGUCUGGAGUGAAAGGCGGGGGCCCAACCCCCGGACUGCUCUGGAAACUGUAUGACUUGAGUGCAGGAGAGGUAAGCGGAAUUCCUAGUGUAGCGGUGAAAUGCGUAGAUAUUAGGAGGAACACCAGUGGCGAAGGCGGCUUACUGGACUGUAACUGACGGUGAGGCUCGAAAGCGUGGGGAGCAAACAGGAUUAGAUACCCCGGUAUAC
RNAcentral lists this ribosomal RNA (450 nucleotides) under uncultured bacterium. RNAcentral's name for it is "bacterial SSU rRNA". It matches the Rfam family "Bacterial small subunit ribosomal RNA", at positions 329 to 795 of the family's 1533-position model. The record is from RNAcentral.